UAGUCCACGCCCUAAACGAUGAACACUAGUUGUUGCUAUGCGAGUCAUAGCAGUAAUGCACCUAACGGAUUAAGUGUUCCGCCUGGGGAGUACGGUCGCAAGAUUAAAACUCAAAGGAAUAGACGGGGACCCGCACAAGCGGUGGAGCAUGUGGUUUAAUUCGAAGAUACGCGAAGAACCUUACCUGGCCUUGAUAUCCUUGGAAUCUUUCAGAGAUGAGAGAGUGCUAGUUUACUAGAACCAAGUGACAGGUGCUGCACGGCUGUCGUCAGCUCGUGUCGUGAGAUGUUGGGUUAAGUCCCGCAACGAGCGCAACCCUCGUCCUUAGUUGCUAACAGUUCGGCUGAGCACUCUAAGGAGACUGCCUUCGCAAGGAGGAGGAAGGUGAGGACGACGUCAAGUCAUCAUGGCCUUUAUGACCAGGGCUACACACGUACUACAAUGGCAGGUACAAAGGGCAGCCACUUCGCGAGAAGGAGCGAAUCCCGUAAAG
Molecule: ribosomal RNA, 493 nt
Filed under: uncultured bacterium
Lineage: Bacteria
Description: bacterial SSU rRNA
Rfam family: Bacterial small subunit ribosomal RNA
Source: RNAcentral